ACCGACGUGCGUCUGUGGAGGAGCG
This 25-nucleotide non-coding RNA is filed under the name Cricetulus griseus (Chinese hamster). Lineage: Eukaryota; Metazoa; Chordata; Mammalia; Rodentia; Cricetidae. The record is from RNAcentral.